Molecule: unclassified non-coding RNA, 343 nt
Filed under: soil metagenome
Description: partial contains 5.8S ribosomal RNA, internal transcribed spacer 2, and large subunit ribosomal RNA
Rfam family: 5.8S ribosomal RNA (bases 1-120)
Source: RNAcentral
GAUGAAGAACGUAGCGAAAUGCGAUAAGUAAUGUGAAUUUCAGAAUCCAGUGAAUCAUCGAAUCUUUGAACGCACAUUGCGCCCGCCAGCAUUCUGGCGGGCAUGCCUGUUCGAGCGUCAUUUCAACCCUCGACCUCCCUUUGGGGAAGUCGGCGUUGGGGACCGGCAGCACACCGCCGGCCCUGAAAUGGAGUGGCGGCCCGUCCGCGGCGACCUCUGCGUAGUAAACCAACUCGCACCGGAACCCCGACGUGGCCACGCCGUAAAACACCCAACUUCUGAACGUUGACCUCGAAUCAGGUAGGACUACCCGCUGAACUUAAGCAUAUCAAUAAGCGGAGGA